This 265-nucleotide ribosomal RNA is filed under the name uncultured bacterium. Its description in RNAcentral is "partial 16S ribosomal RNA". It matches the Rfam family "Bacterial small subunit ribosomal RNA", at positions 793 to 1055 of the family's 1533-position model. The record is from RNAcentral.
GUCCACGCCGUAAACGAUGGGUGCUAGACGUUGGCUAGCUUGCUCGUCAGUGUCGCAGCUAACGCGUUAAGCACCCCGCCUGGGGAGUACGGCCGCAAGGUUGAAACUCAAAGGAAUUGACGGGGGCCCGCACAAGCGGUGGAGCAUGUGGUUCAAUUCGACGCAACGCGCAGAACCUUACCAGCCCUUGACAUGUGACUCGCCGGUACCAGAGAUGGUACCUUCGGUUCGGCCGGAGUCAGCACAGGUGCUGCAUGGCUGUCGU